Long non-coding RNA from Piliocolobus tephrosceles (Ugandan red Colobus), 1624 nucleotides. NCBI's taxonomy places the organism in Eukaryota, Metazoa, Chordata, Mammalia, Primates, Cercopithecidae. The record is from Ensembl.
AUGACGAAAAAAAAAAACAAUGAUAAAAGGUUAUUAAUAUUGAAAGAGCAAGAACAAAAGUUAAAAGAUACGAAAAAUAGUACUCUAGAAAAAACGGAUAUUAUUGUAGAAAAGGACGAAACAGAUACCACAAUAGACAAUGCGAUAAAUCAUAAAAGUGGAAACACUAAAGACGACAAAAAAAUAGAUAAACUGGGUAAGAAGGAUAAGAAGGAAAAAACAGAUGAUAAAAAAAAGGACAAGAAAGACGAUAAAAAAAGGGACAAGAAGGACGAUAAAAAAAGAAGCAAAAAGAAAAAAAAAGGAAUUUCAAUUAGCGAUAUAAACGAUAACACAGAAGAGGAAACUAAAGAAGACACACAAAAUGACACAACAGAAGAAAAAACAGAAAACGAAAUAAACGAAAACAAAAGUGGAGAAAACACAUGCGCUACUAGCUUGUCUACAACAUGUCCAAACGAUUUCAUACCAGAAAAUAAAAAUGAUUUAAAAAAUCGUAACAAAAAUAGCUACUUUUUUGAUAGAAAAAAUAUUAACGACAAAUAUGAUAUAAUAAGCACCGAGAUAUUAAAUUGUUUAUAUAAAAAUCAACCGAAUGUAAAAUUUACGUGCAAACACAAAAUACUAGCAGAAAUGAUAAUUGGAGCUAUUAUAUAUGGAAAUAAAAUUAAAUUAAAUAUAUUUAAAUUGAACUUGUUUUUAUCUAUUAUUAUUAUGACCAUGCAUAAAAUUAUGAAUAAUUUAAGUAAAAAAAAAAAAAAAAAAAAAAAAUUAACUAUUAAAUAUUUUGUCAGUUUAUUAAAUAAAAACACUCAAUAUAAUAAUCAAACAAAUGAAAACGACGGUCUAAUUAAUUGUGAUACACACGAAAUAGAUAUGUUACCAGAAAAUAAGGAAAAAAAUAAACACAUAACUGAACAAAAUAAAAAAAACAAAGAUAAUGAUAAAAAGGAGGGCGAGAGUGAGAGUGAUAAAAAUGAAGACGAGGGUGAAAGUGAUAGAGACGAGAUUGAUAGUGACAGAAACGAGAGUGAUAAAAAAAAGAAUGACAAAAAAAAAAGCGAUAAAAAAAAGAGCAGUAAAAAAAAAAGUGAUAAAAAUAAAAAUGAUGAAAAAACGAUAGGUGAAAAAAUUGUGGAUGAAAAAACUGUGGAUAACAAUGUAACAAAAAGCAGUACUAUUAAAAAAAAAAAAGAAAAGGAAAGAAAUCGUAAUAAAACAUAUGACAAUGACUUAAAAGAGCAAACCAGUAUAUUAAAAAAUACUGAAAAAAAUUUAAUAAAUAAAACAACAGAAAAUAAAGAUAAUGAACAGUCAGCCAAUUAUUUUAGUUUAUCAUUUACUAAUGACUGUCCGCAUAUAUCUCCAACUGAAUCAUUUUUUGUAACGGACGAACUAAAACAAAAUACAGAACAACUAGACAAUAACGAAUUCGCUACCAAUUCGUACAUACAGGAAGCACUUGAUGUCCCAUUAUUUGUGUUAGAUAUGUUUUACAACAACAUUGAAGACUUAAAAAAAAAAAUCGAAGAAGUUGUAACUUGAAUGAUGUUUUUUUUUUUUUUUUUUUUUACUUUUUUGUGUAGUGAAUAAAAAAAAAAAAAUAAAAAAAAAAAAAAAUAAA